Long non-coding RNA from Aedes aegypti (yellow fever mosquito), 2304 nucleotides. RefSeq lists it as uncharacterized. The transcript has 3 exons. The record is from RefSeq and is a predicted model, not a curated record. Lineage: Eukaryota; Metazoa; Arthropoda; Insecta; Diptera; Culicidae.
AUCUUUUUUACUCAGUGUCGAACAACAGGUCGAGUAGGAACAAAGCAUGAUUGUUUCCGCACGAGAAGGAUUUGCUUCACGUGUGCCCGCCAUGGUUCGUUGCCGCAGUUACGUGAUUUUGGGCUUGAGAAUAAGUGGGUACAAUAAGAACAACAGGCGCCGGGAGGAUAUCCACUUUUUGUAUCAGUCCCCAUAAGUGAUAUUUAUUCAGUCGCAAACCGCACGCCGCCGUUACUCUAAAGGAGAGUGAAACGUAAUCACAUGUUAUCUGGCCUAGUAUAUCUAUUAAUACGAAGGGAUACGCCGAGCAACGAUUCCUUGGAAGGGGCAGCAGGGAAAACGGGAAAGCAAACCAAAAUCCGGUUACCGAGCAAUAAAAGGAGAUAUAUGGAAGCCUCUUGCAGCAUCCGGAUAAACGCUGAAGGAACCCGAUUCUCAAUGAUCACGGAUUCUCCAGGUGCAUCCAAUUGCCACGCGUAACUAUAAAUGAGUGUUAAUUGAACGGCCUUUUUACAGAAUUGAUUUCAAGCACAUCUCACCGUACUUUCAGAAUUCAAAUCACGAAACGGCGAAAGGCUUUCACGGAGCAAUGUGCAUCCAAAUGAACGAACCGUUCGGAGGAUGCUGUAAACUGGAAAGGACGAACAUUUCGAUGAGGAAGAGCAGUCACGCGAAUGUAUCAGCCAGUACGGAAACAGCAAAUGGCACUCGGACGUGCUCCCGCCGCAUCACGUGCAUUUCCGACCAACUGAGAACAUAUGCCUAGGGAUAAAGUGAGCCGGGAUUGGCCGAUGAUUCAUUAAAAACAACUACCAUUCAUUGAUUUAUGCUGAAGUGCCAUGGAUAUAAGACGACGAUGCUAAAAAAAUUACGGGAUAAAAAUGCAUCGGCAUGAAUCAAUAAACAAAUGGUUGCAUGCGUUUGAAUAAUUCAGUGCUGAAGAGUGCAGCUUAGUGUUUGAUGUUUGCAAUUAAUAUGGGGAAUUUAAGCAAUUGUUUUCAAUUUUACAUUGCUAUGAUACCAAAAUUUGCCCAAUUUUAUGGGAUCCAAAAUCAAAUCCAUUAAAUGUUUGAUUUGGAUAAAGCGAUUAUGAUGACCCGCUCAAAUGUGUAGCCACUUCAUUGGUUUCAAGUCUUUCUGUUAAUUCUAGGUACCGUAAUUGGGGGUGGAGUUGAACAGUGAGAAGAAGUUGAUCAUUGGGGAAAAUUCGAUCAGGCCGGUACCUCUCAAGGAUGCUUAAGGUUUCAUUGACAUGACAGACAUUCCAUGUUUUCUAAUAAUGAAGAAAUAUUUCGAUUUACCUAGAUUUCUAUUGAUGAAUUCAAACUUAAAUAAGUUUAAAAUGAUUAGUUCUGCACAAAAAUAUUUACAGCUUUUGAAAGUGUAGGCAAGGCUUGCCAAAAACUUUUUGAGCCGCGGGUCAAAUAGUCACAUGAAAUCUGACAAAAGUCAGUGAAGCAAAUUUAUUUUGGAGGAAUCGAAAAAAGGAUAAUUACUGCCAAGUAUCCAACUGUGAUACUGCGAAAAUGCUUUUCUGAAUCGUACAAUAAUCUUAACCAGGAUAUUAAAAAAAAAACUAUUCAAAAAAUUUUAGAACUUUUGAGAAUAAUGUCCAGGAUAUUAUAAAAAAAUGGCAAUAUCCCACCUAGCAUUAUUUGUCAUCCUGCAUGAGAUAUUGUGAAAGUCAUGACACGAAAUGUAUGAAAUUCCUUAUCAAGUUUUUGUGAUAAUCUUGAUCAGAAUCAUGUGAGAGUUCUGCCCGGAAUUUUACAAGGAUUGUGUCAAUGAUUCCUGCAGAAUCUUUUAAGAAAGCUGCCCAGGAUAUCAAAAGAAACCUGUGCAUAGAACUAUUAUAUAUUAACCUUAGAUUCUUUAUAAUCUUACUUAGGGUUAUAUUUGUAAAAAAAUAUGCAUUAAAUUCGAUAUAAAUCUCAAACAGAAGUCUAUGAAAUCUUGAUGAACAUUAUGUGAGAAUUCUGCCUAUAUUGUCCGAUAAAGUUGAGUCCAGAAUAAUGCAAGUUGCGUCCACAUUCGAUCCAAAAUUAUGUGAAUAAGUUAUUUCUUUUUUAUAAUUCUUACAAGGAUUCUGCGUCACUCACUGUCAGUAGCAGUGGAAGAAAUCGUUGAGCAAACUCUAUUCAUGCAUUACAGAAAAAUGCAACCGCAACGAUGAUUCCUUUUGUGCGAUUGUGCACAGAAAAAACCCGUUCUCGUAUCCGUGAACAACAGACGUGAACUCGUCAACAAGCAAAAAUACACCGUGAACUAGAUCAUGUUUAUGUGACCGUUGGUGGUAGUUCAUGG